GUUCUGUAAUUUAGCAUCCAUUUCAUUGGACCACUUCUGUAUUGUGCACGUCACUGGUACUUCCUGUUUGACUUUUUCUUGUAAGGAGGAAUCCGGAGGAUAGAGUUGUGGUCAGAUUUGUCAAAUGGAGGGUGAGGAAGAGCCUUGUAUGUGUCCCUCUGUGUGGAGUAAAGGUGGUCUAGAGUUUUGUUGCCUGUAGUUAGUUGACACGUUGGUAGAAAUGAGGUAAAACCGAUUUCAGUUUUCCUGCAAUAAAAUCACCGGCCACUGGGAGAACCUGUUGGACGUGAGACUGAACAAAGAAAGGACAAGAGACGCCCUCAUGAGAUGAAGAUCAGAGCAGCGGUGGAUGAGAGGAAAUAGUAAAAUCGCUAGACUUAUCAAGACUUAUCAAGUCGUUGAAAAGACAGAUUCCCAGACUGGACAGCUACAGGGAUUAUUACAUCCCCAACCUCAUCAAAAGGGAAUAGGAUGAAGAGAGGAACACACACACACACACACACACACACACACACACACAUACACACGAUAAUCCAUCCAUGUGAUUGAUAUGGCAUAUCAAGAAGAUGAUUAAGCAGCAUGAUCAUUACACAAGUACAGCUUGUGCUGGGGACGAUAAAAGGCACAUCGAUGGCAAUUUGAAUGCACAGAGAUACUGCGAUGAGAUCCCGAGGUCCAUUGUCGUGCCGUUCAUCCACCCCCAUCCACAUCAUGUUUCAGCAUGAUAAUGCACAGCCCCAUGUUGCAAGGGUCUGUACACAAUUCCUGGAAGCUGAAAAUAUCCUAGUUCUUCCAUUGCCUGCAUACUCACCAGAAAUGCCACCCAUUGAGCAUGUUUGGGAUGCUCUGGAUCGACGUGUAGGACAGCGUGUUCUAGUUCCUGCCAAUAUCCAGCAACUUUGCACAGCCAUUGAAGAGGAGUGGGACUAUAUUCAACAGGUCACAGUCAACAGCCUGAUCAACUCUAUGCGGAGGAGAUGUGUCGUGCUACAUGAGGCAAAUGGUGGUCACACCAGAUACUGACUGGUUUUCUGAUCCAUGUCCCUACCUUUUUUAAAGGGAUAUAUCUGUGACCAACAGAUGCAUAUCUGUAUUGCCAGUUAUGUGAAAUCAAUAGACUUCAAAUCCAUAGACUUCAAUCCUUAUAUGAACUGUAACUCAGUAAAAUCUUUGAAAUUG
Oncorhynchus nerka (sockeye salmon) is the source of this 1179-nucleotide long non-coding RNA. RefSeq lists it as uncharacterized. The record is from RefSeq and is a predicted model, not a curated record. The transcript is spliced from 2 exons. NCBI's taxonomy places the organism in Eukaryota, Metazoa, Chordata, Actinopteri, Salmoniformes, Salmonidae.